This is a long non-coding RNA of Eriocheir sinensis (Chinese mitten crab), 2489 nucleotides long. RefSeq lists it as uncharacterized. Lineage: Eukaryota; Metazoa; Arthropoda; Malacostraca; Decapoda; Varunidae. The record is from RefSeq and is a predicted model, not a curated record. The transcript has 3 exons.
GCUCUCACAGAAGUUAUCCGAGUUUUCAUGGGGGGAUUUAUGGCCCUGAUGGUAGUUCUGUAAAUUGUAAAAGCUCUCACAGAAGUUAUCCGAGUUUCCAUGGCCUGGCGGUAGAUUUGCAAGACCUCCGCGCUGUGAACGGGGAAAAACACUCACCCCAACCCGCCAUCUCAUCUCUCUAGCCUCGGACAAUAGACAUCACAAGCACUUCAGACGUUUGACAAUGUGAGUGUUCAUGUUCCCUUGACCUGGUAACACUGACAUCUAAAUUGGGUACAGAUUAAGAGGAUGAGGUGUUAUUUUUCCUGCACUUGGUAACACUGACGAUGAAAUGGGUACAGCUUGAAAUGGCGUUGAUGAUUUUCCUAUACUUGGCUAUAGGUGAAUUUAUCUCGCUCGUGAAGUAAGAAAGGGAAGGAUUUUUUAUUUAUUUAUUAUUUUAUUUUAUUUUUCACAACGGAGGAGACGGUUCAAGGGCAAAAAAGACUGUAGAAAAAAAAAGAAAAAAAGUCCACUGCUCAAUGCUACCUGUUGCCACCUGUGAACUAAGACUGCACAGGUUAACGAGUUCGCUAGUCUAAUUUCCGCACCUGUUUCCUGGUGCUAAUGAUCUUGCUAAUGAUUUGACUUACCUGUGAAAUGAUUAAGGAAGCAUUUCAUAUACACCUUCAUCAUCUUAAUUAACCAAACCAGGUGUGAAAUUUGGUGGAAACAGGUUAACGAGAUUAGGCUUUCCAAUUUUCCGCACCUGUAAUUAACCCUGGUAGUGAUUUGACAGGUGUGAUAUUGUCAAGGAAGCAUUUUAUACACACUCUUAUCAUCCCAAUUAACCAAACUAGGUGUGAAACAAGGUAGAAACAGGUUAACGAGAUUAGGUUUUUGAAUUUUCCGCACCUGUAAUUAACCCAGGGAGUGAUUUGACAGGUGUGAUAUUGUCAAGGAAGCAUUUUAUACACACCAUUAUCAUCCUAAUUAACCAAACUAGGUGUGAAAUAUAGUGGAAACAGGUUAACGAGAUUAGGCCUCUCAAUUUUCCGCACCUGUAAUUAACCCAGGUAGUGAUUUGACAAGGUGUGAUAUUGUCAAGGAAGCAUUUUAUACACACCUUCAUCAUCCUAAUUAACCAAACCAGGUGUGAAAUUUGGUGGAAACAGGUUAACGAGAUUAGGUUUUUGAAUUUUCCGCACCUGUAAUUAACCCAGGUAGUGAUUUGACAAGGUGUGAUAUUGUCAAGGAAGCAUUUUAUAGACACUCUUAUCAUCCUAAUUAACCAAACUAGGUGUGAAACAAGGUGGAAACAGGUUAACGAGAUUAGGCUUUUCAACUUUCCGCACCUGUUAUUAACCCAGGUAGUGAUUUGACAGGUGUACAGUGGUCAAGGAAGCAUUUUAUAGACACCUUCAUCAUCCUAAUUAACCAAACUAGGUGUGAAACAAGGUGGAAACAGGUUAACGAGAUUAGGCUUCUCAAUUUUCCGCACCUGUAAUUAACCCAGGGAGUGAUUUGACAAGGUGUGAUAUUGUCAAGGAAGCAUUUUAUACACACUCUUAUCAUCCUAAUUAACCAAACCAGGUGUGAAACAAUGUGGAAACAGGUUAACGAGAUUAGGCUUUUCAAUUUUCCGCACCUGUAAUUAACCCAGGGAGUGAUUUGACAGGUGUGAUAUUGUCAAGGAAACACAUUUUUCACACACCUGUCAUUUCUUGAUUAACCAAACCAGGUGUGUCAUUAAUCAGAGGAGGUAUUUCCACACCUGUCUGUACAUAUAUAACCCUGGUAGUGAUUUGACAAGGUGUGAUAUUGUCAAGGAAACACAUUUUUUACACACCUGUCAUUUCUUAAUUAACCAAAGCAGGUGUGUCAUUAAUUAGAGGAGGUAUUUCCACACCUGUCUGUACAUAUAUAACCCUGGUAGUGAUUUGGCAAGGUGUGAUAUUGUCAAGGAAACACAUUUUUCACACACCUGUCAUUUCUUAAUUAACCAAACCAGGUGUGGGGUUAAUCAGAGGAGGUAUUAACACACCUGUCUGUACAUAUAUAACCCUGGUAGUGAUUUGACAAGGUGUGAUAUUGUCAAGAAAACGCAUUUUUUACAUACCUGUCAUUUCUUGAUUAACCAAAGCAGGUGUGUCAUUAAUUAGAAGAGGUAUUUCCACACCUGUCUGUACAUAUAUAACCCUGGUAGUGAUUUGACAAGGUGUGAUAUUGUCAAGAAAACACAUUUUUUACACACCUGUCAUUUCUUAAUUAACCAAACCAGGUGUGUUGUUAAUUAGAGGAGAUAUUUCCACACCUGUCUGUACAUAUAUAACCCUGGUAGUGAUUUGACAAGGUGUGAUAUUGUCAAGGAAACACAACCACCUUCUAAUUCACCCAUGUAAGUGUGGAGAUGGGCCCCAGGUUAACGAGAUGUGAUAUUCUAUUUUCUACACCUGUUUGUAUGUAAGAAUUAACCUGCUAACAGUUUCUAUUAAAGAGGUUGAGCAAAG